Molecule: RNA transcript, 3467 nt
Organism: Homo sapiens (human)
Lineage: Eukaryota; Metazoa; Chordata; Mammalia; Primates; Hominidae
Gene: UBE2L3
Gene name: ubiquitin conjugating enzyme E2 L3
Exons: 4
Source: RefSeq, marked reviewed
AUUCUGGGGAAGGAGCAGCACCAAAUCCAAGAUGGCGGCCAGCAGGAGGCUGAUGAAGGUAAAAGCCAUUCUCUGGCAGCGGCCGGGCGUGGGGCGGCGUCCUAGGCUCCGGAUCCCCGAGGCAGGCGGCGGCUUCUCAGGGCGCUGCCGUCUGGCUUCCUGCCCUACACGGCCUCGUCGGUUCCCUGGGCCGCGCGCAGGCUCAAGGUGCUAACGGGGCUGGCCUAGGCCGCAGCCUGGGCGGGAGCGCAAGGCCGCGCUGGGAGCCGCUGUCGGCCCCUCAGCCCGGCCCGGGGCGUUCACGCCACUCUCCGCCCGGAGCUUGGCCGCGUCCCCCUGUCGCGGAGGCCGCGGUCCGAUCUGAGGGCGUCGUUAAUGUGAGAGCCCGGUUGGGAGGCUCCAAACCGGGCGCCUUCGGGGAAGGCCCGAGCGCCGGAGCCCCUGCCCGGAGCCCGCGCCGCGGAACCGCCCCGCCCUGGGCCGCAGCGCGCCGGGCUUGCAGCUCCGCUUGGCCCGGCCGCAGCUCGGGAGUCUGGGAGGUUCGGGCUAGGAAAGAGAGAAGGAGGCCAGGCGGCCAAAGUUAGGUCAGUUUGUUGGUGGGUCGUUUGGAAUUGCGCUGGGUCCUAGCAAACUGUCGCCUUGUGACUGCAGAGUCACACAGCGGGAGCUUGAAGAAAUCCGCAAAUGUGGGAUGAAAAACUUCCGUAACAUCCAGGUUGAUGAAGCUAAUUUAUUGACUUGGCAAGGGCUUAUUGUUCCUGACAACCCUCCAUAUGAUAAGGGAGCCUUCAGAAUCGAAAUCAACUUUCCAGCAGAGUACCCAUUCAAACCACCGAAGAUCACAUUUAAAACAAAGAUCUAUCACCCAAACAUCGACGAAAAGGGGCAGGUCUGUCUGCCAGUAAUUAGUGCCGAAAACUGGAAGCCAGCAACCAAAACCGACCAAGUAAUCCAGUCCCUCAUAGCACUGGUGAAUGACCCCCAGCCUGAGCACCCGCUUCGGGCUGACCUAGCUGAAGAAUACUCUAAGGACCGUAAAAAAUUCUGUAAGAAUGCUGAAGAGUUUACAAAGAAAUAUGGGGAAAAGCGACCUGUGGACUAAAAUCUGCCACGAUUGGUUCCAGCAAGUGUGAGCAGAGACCCCGUGCAGUGCAUUCAGACACCCCGCAAAGCAGGACUCUGUGGAAAUUGACACGUGCCACCGCCUGGCGUUCGCUUGUGGCAGUUACUAACUUUCUACAGUUUUCUUAAUCAAAAGUGGUCUAGGUAACCUGUAAAGAAAGGAUUAAAAAUUUAAGAUGUUCUAGUUCUGCUCUCUUUGUUUUAAAAAUCACUGCUUCAAUCUACUUCAAAAGAAUGGUGUUUCUUUUCUUGUCCAAUUUUAUCCAAAAUCUUCAAGUUACAUUUAACCCAUAAGGUUUAAAAAAAAGGAAAAAAAACGGUUGUGGUUCCCUUUCUUCCCUACCCUUGCCACUCCCACUUUCUGGCACCGAGUUUAUUUUUCACUUACUUACUUCCCCAGACCCCGGGCUCGCCUCCACAAAGGAGAAGAGACUGCCCUGGCGGUCCUGGUGGCUUUUCUUAGCAUGUGUGGCACUGUUGCCCAGUGUGGGAGUUGGUUUAAAUUCUCCUGACUCCAGUUUAUAACAUCCUUUUAAAAAAUUUAAAAACAAACAGCCACACCCCUCCUCCAGUCCUUCUCCUCAGUUCUUGUGUGAAACUCCAGCUGAUGUUACCACAGUAACAUCAGUUAAUUGGGCAAGCCCUGAUGUCAGUGUGUGUAACUGACCUCUGGCCUGGCCUGCACAGAGAAGCCCUAUAAUCACAGGUCUGUGGUGGCCCCGAAAUGGGGGGCCUGCUAGUCAGGAGGAUGCUGUGCACACUGUGUGUGAUGAAUCUCGCCAGAAAGGCUCCUGAGGUCCCAGGUUGGCACUUCUCCCUGCAGCCAUUGUAGAAGAUCUGCUGGUCCUUGCAGGCAAAGCUACAGCCAGAAUGUCCGUUUGAAACUCCUAGCUCAUCUGUCACCGAGCUUCAUCCGAAUGUGCCACGGAGCUUGCUCUCCACUUCCUCCGUGCAGUGGCCCUGCCACAGCCCUCCCUCGGCACACUUUGACCCUUUGUAGGAUUGGAAUUAGCAGGACUCGGCUAUUUAAAGCACCAGUCUGGGGUCGCCUGGGCCCCUGCUGACCCCCUCCUCCAGAGCAGCCAGCCCAGCCCGGGAACAAGACGGACUUCCUCUCCCUUCGGACUCACAGCCUUUGCAGAGUCAAGCUCCACUUGAAGCUCACUCAGUAAUAUCCUUUCAAUGUGUUUUAUAUUGUUUUGACUGCCUUUUUUUGUAGAAAUAAAAAUUGACCUUAGAAUUUAUCGUCAGAUAAACUUGUAAAGAUUUGAAUAUUAAUGUCUUUUCAAGGCAAAUGGGAUUGUCCCCGCACUAGUAGAGAAUCCAUGUCGCUCUGACACCCCAAGGAAGCCGACGAUCCAAAUGCCGUGUGUCACCAACCCCGCUUCUGCCACUGGCGGCUUCCCUUCUUGGCUCUUGGGGGGGACUAGAUCCUGUGGAGAAGAUGACUUAAACUUUGCUUUUUGUUUUAAUUUUAAUUCUAUAACUUGAGAUCUUUCCGGGGCCUACAGGCGUGUAAGACAGCUUGGUCUGGUCUGUGCAGAAGUGGGGAGUGAUGGGCAGGUUCGGCAGCCUAACAUUGUUCAGGCGCAUGGCCCCUGCGGUGUGUACACGAACUCGGCUUCUUUUGUCCUAGGUACGCCAAGGGCAGGUUUCUGGAGACUCCCUUGUGCCCGGGAUGGCAAGGGCACCGGGCUGGCGUUUCCACAUCUGUCUUCAUUAGCAGAAAAGUGAUGAUGGAUUUUAUUUCACUCACACUCCAGUUUGUAAUAAAAUGCCAAAUUCUGUCAGCUAUCCAAACAAGCCACCAUUUGUUCUUGUUGCUUCUCUGGAUCCAGAAAUGUUGCCAUUCUUGGAAACUGUCCCAUUGCUUCGUAUUUCUGCCAACGUAGCUCUGCCUGCCUGUCAACCCCUCACUGCACUCUGCUCAUCACGGGAGGAUACCUGUGUGCCGGCAGCCCCUCAGGGACUCUCAGCCCUGGCACUGGCACCCCAGGGUUGGCCCCGUCAGCAGAGGCUUGGCUUUCGAGCCAGUGGGUGUCUCUCCUUUGGGCCUGGGCGGCUUGCUCCUGCCAGCCAUGCCUUCAGGGUAGGCUCUGAGCAAGCUGGCGAACAGCCCUGGCUGCUCCAAAACCAAAAAGCUGGGUCCUCUGGAGGAGGGGCGAGCUGUGGAGCAGCCACCCACUGCUGCCCCAAGCUCACUCAGGAAUUCACACCCGCCUGGUUUCUUGAAGUGUGCUGGGUCCUUCCCUCUGCUCCCUACUCCCCACCACGGCAGAGAAUAGGCUUUCUAAGAUGCUGCGAUCCCGUUCUGCUGCCCGUAAUAAAAAUGCUCUCAGACACUG